AUGUUUGCAGGUCAAAAAUUACACUCAGCUCUCAGAUCUGGUGAUUUUUGUUCAGAAGCCAAUACAUCAACAACAUCACAAGAAUUUGAUGAAUGUGCUUUGUCCAUUGUAAAUGCUAGGUGGGUGUUAAAGGACGGGACCAGACGACCGGAACCAUGGGAGGAAGAGCAGGCAGGCUGCAGGAGAGGAAGGAGGAAGGAACCGCAGGAGAGGGUGUGGCGUGAGGCCGAUGGAAACCACAGCUAUCUGUUGGGCAGGAAAGAGAAACCAGAUACAGCUUCCUGGGCAAUAGAACUUCAGAGACAAGCACAGUUUGCUGGCAACUCCAGGAGGCUGAAGCCACCAUUCCCGCAGCCUUUGGGGGGCUGUCUCAGGAGCUGAAAUGGGCCAGUUACAAACAGAAUUGGUUCUGCCGUCAUAGAAAACCACAAAAGCAUAUGUGUUUUCAGACACAAAAGCUACCACACUUUCUUUGGAAAACAAGGCACAGGUGAAAAAAAAAAAAAAUCUCACUUCUAAACAGAAUGGAAAGCAUGGCUAACUUGAGAUUUAUUUAAUUACAGUGUCUUUCUCCGGGCUAAUCAGUUUUAAAACCCAUUCAUAUUGGUGCCGAUGAGCCAAUAAAAGAUCCAGAAGAAAAGAAGUAUUAUAUCA
This 654-nucleotide long non-coding RNA is filed under the name Bos indicus x Bos taurus (hybrid cattle). Its description in RNAcentral is "lncRNA (ENSBIXG00005024461.1)". The record is from RNAcentral. Lineage: Eukaryota; Metazoa; Chordata; Mammalia; Artiodactyla; Bovidae.